UGUGUGUGUGUGUGUGUGUGUGUGUGUUUUCUCACCCUGCACCAUUGUGAGCCAGUCUGGUUGGUUGUAGUGCUCCGACGAAAUAGUGAGCGUAUUGAGGAACACCAGAAUGAUCACCAGCCAAUAAAACGGGACAGAUUUCACGGCCAAGCGGCAGUUCCUGCGGCAGAACCUGUUCCAGCGACGCCAGCGCCGACUGCCAAAAACAGGACGUGAGAAAGCCCUGACCAGCUACUGGACACGUGACAGCAGGGUCUGAUCUAGUCUGAUCUCGAACAUGACCCACAGGACGAAGCCCUGUUCCACUGACACGGCGCCGGAGCCCGAACACUUACACGCGUCUCCACCCGUUCUUCACAGACGUCGAGGGGCGUUUUUCUUCUCUGGAUUCGCAGCCACGCCAUAGAAGAGAUGAGUGUGAUGGAGAGCAGCAGGGUGUGAAACUCAAACAGGGAUGGCAUGCAGGAUGUGACAGUGAUGAGGUCAGAGUCUGACGGCGUCCUCCAGGUGUCCUGCUCGUCUUCUCCUGACAACAGCCACCCCACUGGAGGUCAUGCAGUGAACACGGCUUUAGCAUCUUUCACCCAGCCACAUACGACACGCUCCACGCUUAAUCUGAGGCAAGAGAUUACACGAGUCACAGCUCGAGCAGUGAGUCAGAAACACUGAAAUAUCAGACUCAAGCAUAAUGUGAGACAAAGAGGAGAAGGAGAGGAAUCCCUGCUAUAUACAACUGUGUGUGUGUGUGUGCGUGCGCGGGUGUGUGUGUGUGCAUUUGUUUGUUUCUGUGUGUGUGUGCGUGCGUGCUUGCAUGUGUGUGUGUGCGCUUGUGUGUGUGUUUGUGUGUGUGCGUGCGUGUUUGUGUGUGUGUGCGUGUGUGUGUGUGUGUGUGCGUGCGUGCGUGCGUGUGUGUUUGUGUCCACAGUCAGAAGAAAAGCUUAGAGAACUGAAGGCCGGGCCAAUGAGAUUAAUUUCAGCCGAGGACGUCAUGUGGGGGAAAUUUAAAGAAAAAGUGUCUCCACAAACCCCCUGGUGCCUGGUUCUCUCAGCACAUCCUCAUCUGUGGAAGAGAACUUCAGCGAGGUAGAGGGUGAGGAAGGAGACCUGCUAGGACCAAGACGUCCAGUCCCAAGAUGAAACAGAACAAGCAUCCAAGUGAGCUCUGUGGGCUGAAACUGUCAAAUCCUCCCAAGGUUUACAGGAGAUAUCUACAGUACAUCCAGGAGAUGUUUACAGGAGAUAUCUACAUCCAGGAGAUGUUUACAGGAGAUAUCUACAUCCAGGAGAUGUUUACAGGAGAUAUCUACAUCCAGGAGAUGUUUACAGGAGAUAUCUACAUCCUGAAGAUGUUUACAGGAGAUAUCUACAUCCUGAAGAUGUUUACAGGAGAUAUCUACAUCCUGAAGAUGUUUACAGGAGAUAUCUACAUCCAGGAGAUGUUUACAGGAGAUAUCUACAUCCAGGAGAUGUUUACAGGAGAUAUCUACAUCCAGGAGAUGUUUACAGGAGAUAUCUACAUCCAGGGCAGGACUGCAGGAUGUUUUCCAGAACAACAGCAAGGUUCUGAGAUUCAGUUUCAGGUGAUGAGUUGACAUUCAUGAUAAGAUCAUGACACCGGCGUAGGUUAUGAUUAGAAAAUUGAGGGUUUACUUGAUGUUCCAAAUGAGAUGAGAGCAUUAGAGAAGGUUUUAGUGAGAUCUGAUCUAAGCACAAUGGUUCAUGCUUUAAACUCUAGCUUUUUACAUUCUACAGGUAGGUUACAGACUUAGGAUAGAGGACAGACCUUUUUUUUUUUAAUUAUGAAACAGGGAAAGGUUGUCAUUGUAACUUCAUAUCUGUUUUUAUUGCACUCUAUUUAAACCUCCAUAUGUAAGGAACAAGGAGGAAAGACAGAUAACAGUGAAAUGGGAAAAGGUCCAGUAAAGUCAGGUAAGAGCUGAUAAUCAGAGAGUGGCUUUCCCUGAGCAACACAGACCCAGGGAUGGAGUGGGAGUGUUCUUUCUGAUGAUGAUGAUGAUGAUGAUGAUAAUAAUAAUAAUAAUAAUAAUAAUAAUAAUAAUAAUAAUAAUAAUAAUAACAACAGGGCGGCACAGUGGCUUAGUGGUUAGCACGUUCGCCUCACACCACCAGGGUCGGAGGUUCGAUUCCCGCCUCCGCCUUGUGUGUGUGGAGUUUGCAUGUUCUCCCUGUGCCUCGGGGGUCUCCUCCGGGUACUCCGGUUUCCUCCCCCGGUCCAAAGACAUGCAUGUUAGGUUGAUUGGCAUCUCUGGAAAAUUGUCCGUAGUGUGUGAGUGUGUGUGUGUGAAUGAGAGUGUGUGUGUGUGUGUCCUGCGAUGGGUUGGCACUCCGUCCAGGGUGUAUCCUGCCUCGAUGCCCGAUGAUGCCUGAGAUAGGCACAGGCUCCCUGUGACCCGAGAAGUUCGGAUAAGCGGUAGUGAAUGAAUGAAUGAAUGAAUGAAUAAUAAUAAUAAUAAUAAUAAUAAUGGCUUGCUCAGGCUCGAUGGGAACACAAAAUAAGUACCUACAGAGAAAUGACUUUAUUAGUAAUAACCUAGCUAAUAAACAGGAAUAAGAGAAUAAAAUACAGGACGCGGCGGUGUGACUGACCCAGUACAGCACAUCUGUCCAACCCUCCAUAGUGAUACACUGGAACACCGUCAGCAUCGCAAACAGGAAGUUGUCGAAGUUGGUGAUGCCGCCGUUGGGACCCUGCCAGCCUUCUCUGCACACCGUAUUGUUCAGGAGGCAGGUUCGGCCAUGACCGUUUAUUGCACAGGGAGCCGGGUCGUCCACCGCCAUUAUAGCUACACACACACACACACACACACACACACACACACACACACACACACACACCUGUAUAGUUAAAAAUAUCUGUCAGUCGAUCCAUCAUUCUGUUGUGUAUUAAUGUAGCGCACAUUACAGCAUCAUUGUUCUGUUCUAUAAAUAACCCCAUGCGGUCACUACAAUAACGUGUGAGUGGAAGUUAAACUGGACUCAACACCGCAUCAGGUCUAAAUCUGAAACUCACCCGUCCCGGAAACAUAACAGGUCGCGUGCAUUUUGCCGAGGAAGAGCUCAAGGCCAAUGAUGGCAUAGAUGAUGAUGACGAAGAGGACCAGCAGAGCAAUGUGAAGAAGAGGAACCAUGGCUUUAAUGAUAGAGUUCAACACUACCUGUAAACCUGCAGGUAUAAACAAACAAACACACACACACAAACACGCACGUCGGGUUAAUUAGCGGCCAUGUUGUCUGUAAUUGUAGCGAUGACAUAAAAUAUCCAGUGUUGCAGAGUUAUCAGCUAAAUGUACACGUAAUAAACAGGCAACUCGGUUGUUUUCAUUUCAUCCGAGAUGAGAAGAGACCCUGGGGGCAGACCGACACAGGGACCCGACUUUUCUUUACUUCUUCUUUGUUUGAUUUAAAAUAAAUGUUUUCAGUAUAUUUAGUGUUUAUUGUGUAUCGCUGUAAUUGUGUGUAUUUCGACUGAGAUUUUUUUCAGGGAAGUUCACAUGUUCACAAACGGCGUAGACGGCAGCGUGUUCCGCUGCUCGGAGUUUAACAGCUUGUUCGGUGUGAACGCUCCUGGGGACACGAGCGAGAGCUGCCAUAUGGUCACCCUAUGAAGGGUUCGUGCGGUGUGGGACGGCCAGCAUAACGGUGUAACGUCCCACGACCGCCGUCACCCGCAUUCAGCGCAAAUCAUUUCAAACAAGAGAUACACGAAUCAGCGGGAAACUGUAACGCAGGUAAAGUGUAAAAAAAAGCGCAGAUCUUUAAUGAGAACAGAAUAAGCUACAAAGGUCACUUACUAGGAACUCCUGAGACCAGGCGAAGGGGUCGCAGCACCCUGAAGGCCCGCAACGCUUUGACGUCGAAGCCUCCUGGUUUGCCUCCGUGGCCGUGCGCGGGGGAGGGGCUUCCUGCACCGUGCUGAGCCCCUUCUUUGGUCAGAACUUCUAGAACAACACUGAACAGACUGCAGAAACACAGUAUGCAAAAAAAUACUAGUGCUGACACGAGGGAAGAAGGGAUCAGAGGAAAAGAGGAAGAGGAGAAGAGUAGAAGGAAUGACAAAAAGCAAUUACACAAUGUCAAUACAAAGAAGGAAAGAGGAAGAGGGAAAAGAAGUAAAAAAAACAAAAAAACGAGUGAUGAGGAACAGAUCAUUAUUCCAAAGAGGUGAGUAUGGAAAGAUGGUGAGUCAUUCUAUCAGAGAGGAGACGUGAUGUUAUUCCUCCUGUCUUUUCUGGGUCAUAGAGCUGCUUGAAGUGGUGUGUGUGUGUGUGUGUGUGUGUGUGUGUGUGUGUGUGUGUGUGUGUGUGUGUGUCU
Long non-coding RNA from Tachysurus fulvidraco (yellow catfish), 4332 nucleotides. RefSeq lists it as uncharacterized. The transcript is spliced from 7 exons. The record is from RefSeq and is a predicted model, not a curated record. Lineage: Eukaryota; Metazoa; Chordata; Actinopteri; Siluriformes; Bagridae.